RNAcentral lists this unclassified non-coding RNA (214 nucleotides) under Hevea brasiliensis (rubber tree). Lineage: Eukaryota; Viridiplantae; Streptophyta; Magnoliopsida; Malpighiales; Euphorbiaceae. The record is from RNAcentral.
GGUUAUCCUUGCAUGGCUUGUAUUGAUGGACUUGUUAAGGUUUGCUCAACCCGCCUAUGUCCAUGAUAAGGCCUGAUAAUAUUGCACAAUUUUGAUAUUGUUGUGUGUAUUCCUUCCAACUGAUUUGUGGGGACAUCCGUUCUAGUUCAAUUCAUUGACUUCAAAACUUAACACCUCCUCUGAGCCGCAGACUUUUCAACGGUUUGAAGUAAAG